AGCCAGCUGCCUCGCAAUGCUAGGGUCCACGCCAUCGGCUGAGUUGCAUCGAUCCCAGGCCUCCGGGUGCACGCCCAGUAACGGAGCUCUUGCCUCAAGGCCCCGAGCCUCAGCGCUGCUAGACCGCUCGUAGCCCUGGAACGCCAUGCGCAUUAUUGCUUCUUCAUGAAUAGCUUCUCCAGGUAUCGAGGCCCUCGCGGUUGUACGCCGAGUAUGCCCCAAGUAUGCGCCGGGCUGCCUCGAGAAUUCAUCCAUCUCCCCUCCAAGCUCCUAUCCUCCUGAAGCGCUGAGCCCAAGGCUUAGGCCUGCCAUCCUGCUGAGGUGGCUGGCCAAACCAGUAUCUACACUUGGGCACUGUCUGGGAUGUAUAUGAAAGCCUGUCCUCAAACGCCAAUAUUUGCGAAACCUUUGCUUUAAAAGUAAGUGCAAAAAAUAAGCUGACAAGCCUAGAACGACUACGCGCGAACACGCUGAAAGGAAUAAUGUGGUGCCUACGAAAGCAGCGUCGGUAAAAGAACGUAGAAGGUGAACAGUUUAUAGGUCAGGUGCGUUCGUAAAUAGCCUAGGAGUUACUCGCCUAGGACUUCCGCAUGCGGAGGACAAUUGUUUUACAGUACGGCAUUGAAAUUCCUCAAACUUCUUAACCGCAGGCAACGUCGUAUUACUCCACCCCGGGAAUAUGUGUCGGACAACCGUAAACCAGAAGUUAAGAUUUGCCGCAUACCCAUUAGAUGGGAAAGCCGAAACACACAACGCGGUUCAUCUCUGCGAAGUCAUACUUGUCACUGCUGCGAUUUCGCUUAGGGACGUGGCCUUUGGAGGUAAGCCGACCCCGGUGGUCGGUCGCGCCAAGAGCGCUGGUGUAGGGUCCGUGCUGACAGAAAUGCAGUAGAAGAUGGGUUCACGUAUGGUGGGUUUCCCGCUUACAACGACAUACGGGAAGGGCUCCUCAAUCUAUGUGUACGCCAUGCUGAUAUCGAGCCCCUUGCCUAAUAUGAGGUCUGUCAUGGAGAUAGAUCAUCAGCGCGGACUUGCGCAGAUCGUUGCGACGCACGCUGAUAGCCGAGCAGAAGGUCCUUACCUCAGGUCGCUUACCCUAGUUACUGUUUCCUCUCGCAGAUGGGGUUCAUAACACUUUUCCUCCUUUUUCCUUUUUUGUUUCUUCCUUCUUUUUGACUACGCUAGAACCCGCGGUCCAUGAGCCUCCUGGCUCGUCUGAGCCUUGUAACAUAACAUAACCGCAGGCCCAAGUGAGAAGGUAGGAGUUCUUGCGCAAGCUAGGAAAGCGACAGGCUUGCUAACAGCAUUUUAUUUCCUAUAAAUGCAGCAAAAUCAAGCCAAACUUCGGUGACGGUCCUGAUAGUUGCUGAGAGCCGUUUAGCAUUGGCUAAUCAGGGCUAAUCAGGGUAGAGUCUCGUCCACACCUUUGGCCAUCUUGAAAUGUUUUGCCGCAAAAGCGAACGCAGUGAUAACUUUCCUCACCGAAAAGGUGCUGGCUUGUAUGCCGGCUUGUAUGCACACCUUUGCUGCCCUCUGCCUCAAGGCCGCGGCAGUCGCUGGAGACGCCUUGUCGCAUGCUUUACUUACACGGACGAAUUGGAAGAGACCAGGGUCUGCCAUGUAGGAAAUCCUUCACUCCCAUUUGAGCCUAAUGGAAACCCCACGAUAAACCACAGGGACCCUUAACAGAGUACGCCUGCAGCUAUAGUUAAGUCAGCUGCGGAACAGGGAUCACUGUAAUGUUGAUGUAGUUCUUGCAUGGUAGGCCCAAUUACAAACCACGGACGCCCGUCUACGGGACGCUCAGAAAGGGAGGGCCCAUGGGUCAAGGUGGUUGUUGCCGAUGGUGGACGUGAUUGUCAC
RNAcentral lists this long non-coding RNA (1863 nucleotides) under Volvox carteri. Its description in RNAcentral is "long non-coding RNA (VCAR_LNC000273)". Lineage: Eukaryota; Viridiplantae; Chlorophyta; Chlorophyceae; Chlamydomonadales; Volvocaceae. The record is from RNAcentral.